GUCUUGGCCUUAAACGAUGUUCACUAGGUGUUGGGGGGUAACCCCCGGUGCCGCAGCUAACGCAUUAAGUGAACCGCCUGGGGACUACGGCCGCAAGGUUGAAACUCAAAGGAAUUGGCGGGGGACCGCACAAGCGGUGGAGCAUGUGGCUUAAUUCGAUGCAACGCGAAGAACCUUACCAGGGCUUGACAUGUAUCUGCAAGCUGCCGAAAAGCAGUCGCUUUCGAAGGUGAUACACAGGUGGUGCAUGGCUGUCGU
RNAcentral lists this ribosomal RNA (258 nucleotides) under uncultured bacterium. RNAcentral's name for it is "partial 16S ribosomal RNA". It matches the Rfam family "Bacterial small subunit ribosomal RNA", at positions 793 to 1055 of the family's 1533-position model. The record is from RNAcentral.